Molecule: ribosomal RNA, 879 nt
Filed under: Triticum aestivum (bread wheat)
Lineage: Eukaryota; Viridiplantae; Streptophyta; Magnoliopsida; Poales; Poaceae
Description: partial small subunit ribosomal RNA
Source: RNAcentral
AUGCCCUCCACAUAUUGGGCUGAAGCCCUUCGCCAUGCCACUUUUCUUCUUAAUAUUCGUCCCACCAAAACAUGCCCACGUUUUCCCCCCUACGAGUCCCUCUUCCUCACCGCCCCAGCCUACUCUGAUCUUCGUGUAUUUGGCUGUCUCUGCUUUCCUAAUUUGACAGCGACCACGCCUCAUAAACUUGCUCCACGAUCGUUGCCUUGUCUUUUUCUUGGCUACUCCGAUUCACACAAGGGCUAUCGCUGCCUGCACCUCCUCACCGGUCGCGUUUUUAUCUCUCGCCACGUCACGUUUGAUGAAACAAACUUUCCGUACGCCUCUCACCAAACUCCAGAUUUUUCUGCCCCAAUUUCUGGCGCUUCUCCUGCCCCUACGCGCCCACGAACGAUCGACGUGCAUGCGCUGCAUGGCCCUGUUCACCCGGGCCCCGCUGCUGAAUCUGCUCCCACCAAUCACACCGUCCCACCCGCCCGCUCCCAUGCACCUUCCUCGGAUCUGCCGCCUCCCCUCGACGCCCCCAGUGCUGCCUCGCUUUCCCCACCACCGCACUCCCCCACCAUCGUUUUUUGUCCCCAUUCCCCCGGGCCCAUUGCCUCACCAAUCCCAACUCCUUCUCCCGAUCUGCAUGCCUCUCCUUCCGUGCCCGAUUCUUCUCUCUCCCCCUCUUCGCUUUCCUUCCCGUCGCCGCCUCCUUCUUCUAAACUGCCUCGUACUGCUGUACCUGCACCUAUCCCAGCCAAUGACCAUCAGAUGCGUACUCGUGCUAAGGCGGGCUUUCGUCUUCCUGUGGAUCGUCUCAACCUCUCCACCACCACCACACCCAUCUCUCCCAUCCCCAAGUCCUACAAAGCCGCUCUCCUGGACCCAAACUAG